CCUCCUCAGCAGUCUCCGACUCCUCGGCGCCCAACCGCGUGAUUUAAUUUGUUUGGUAAUAUCAGGAUUGGCGUGUUCAGCCCAGCUUCACUCCAAAGUGAAAUUGGACGAGGGCAUUGGAGCCUCACCAGGUACAAGCGCCUCACCUUGACAGCUGCUUGAGUGGGCAGCGGAUUGCAGAAGAGAGGAGAGGGGGGGGGGGGGGGGGGCGGUUACCCCUUUACCACGGGGGAGUUUUGUGUCAGAAGAGAAGCGCAGGAGACAAAGCACCAGGUGCUACCGGGGGCCGAUCCGCUCCACAACAAAAUGCUGCAGCGCGUCCAAACCGUCCAAUCGGCUUCCGGCUUCCUCGCCCUGUUUUCUGUGAUGGACUUUGAUGUAAUUUGUCACAUUUAUUUUGUCAACUCAGAUCUUCAAACUGCUCGUGAUGGCAGAGAUCCGUCACUCUGCACGGGGACAGAUGCUUCUGUACUACGUCCCCAAAUCCGUCCACCUCCUUUAGACAAGAAUUGUUGGUCCUUUCUUUGCAGUAAGCGAGUGUCGUUUGAAGCCUCAUUUCUCAAUAAGGAAAGUCGCUAAUGAGCAUUUUAUGGACAAAUGAAAGAAACGAUUGCAGCGGGAGUCGACAUGAGUGACGGCCACCAACCGGACAGACGCAUCUCCACUGUGACUCAAACACCAGGAGAACCGCGCUGAGGCAGCGAGGAGCCACCCUAACCACGCUAACCACGCUAACCCCGUUAGCGGUCUCUCAGACUCGUCCCCGCGCGGAGGCCUCGUGUGACCCCGAUGAGUCGUGGACGCUGAUGGAGAGCAGGAAGACACAGAAUCACAGCCAACAGGGUCCAAUAAAAAGUCUCACUGCAAUUGAUCGUUCCGUGAGAAAGUUGAAGCUGCGCACACACACACACACACACACACACACACACACACACACACACACACACACACACACACACACACACAGCUGCCCACACUGAGAUGGCCUAGAUAGGUAGAUGUGGAGACAGGCUGAGGGGGGAGAAGGGAUCUGAGGCCGGAUUCAUUUCCACCUCCAGUGGAGGGAGACCACCUAUUCAGCCCGUCUGAGGGGCCACGGAGUCGACAACGGAUCAGCCGCCGUCAGCCGCCGAUGGGGGGGAGGCUUCACGAGAGCAUUUCACCAACCCACCACUUCACCACAGCGGACGGGAUCAACUUCCUCCGGUUUAGUGAGGGAGAGAAUGUCGCCCCACCUCAUUACCCCCACCUGGAUGACACGGCGGGGGAUCCUAAUUUAAGUCACUCGUUAGCUCC
Long non-coding RNA from Gasterosteus aculeatus aculeatus (three-spined stickleback), 1296 nucleotides. The record is from Ensembl. Lineage: Eukaryota; Metazoa; Chordata; Actinopteri; Perciformes; Gasterosteidae.